GCACUGCUGAGGAGUCAAAAAAAUUGGACGAAACGGCCGUCCAGUGC
Molecule: non-coding RNA, 47 nt
Filed under: Schistosoma mansoni
Lineage: Eukaryota; Metazoa; Platyhelminthes; Trematoda; Strigeidida; Schistosomatidae
Source: RNAcentral